Drosophila pseudoobscura is the source of this 2549-nucleotide long non-coding RNA. RefSeq lists it as uncharacterized. The transcript is spliced from 3 exons. NCBI's taxonomy places the organism in Eukaryota, Metazoa, Arthropoda, Insecta, Diptera, Drosophilidae. The record is from RefSeq and is a predicted model, not a curated record.
UGGAGACAUUAUCCGACUCAGAUUGUAUACUUUACGGGCUGCUCAACAAUGACAGCCGUAGAGCCCCCAAAUCUGUCUAAGAAUCAGUUUCAGAAUCGGGUUCCGCCACUUACGUACAAUAUACCACGUUCUGCUAAUGGGGGUCUAAUCUAGUGACGACAGCUCCAACAUGCAGUCCAGUUCCACUCUCCCUUAUUGGAUCACCAAUGCGUUUGAGAAGUACUCGUAUGAAACAGUUGAAUUCAAUGAUGGUGCAGCAGACAAUACGAGUAUUUCAAAAAACAAUCAGAUGAAGACAACAAAUAGGUUUAAUUCCCAAUUUCGAUCCGAUGCCAGAACUUUUCUUAGCUUUCUUAACUUUGAGCCAAACUCAAUGUCGCUUUUGCCACUAGUUCCAUUGUGGCCCCAUUGUGUCCACCCAAAAUGCUGAAAAUGCUCCAGUGGCUACAUGGACACAUCCUGCCACGUCCUCUCGUAUGCAUGAUACUGUUGUUCGGGUGUUGCUGUCAAUGUCCGCAUCCGUAUACGUAUCCGCUGGCAUAUUUCACAACUUUGCCCAAAUUCGUCUGCUUGGCAGUCUGUUUCCCAGACACUUUGCACGUUCAGCCGAACUGACCUCUGAUUCCCGUGUGGCACAUCGGGCGCCCAGAUGUUGUUGCCACUGUGUCUGCGUUGCAUGAUCCGAGCCUUAAGGAAAUGUGUGGCCAUAAACAACAGUAUAUGGAAUGACUGCGUUCGUGAGGCCCAAGGGAUCAGCGGAGCCGUGCCCAUGCCCCUUUCCUCUUAUUUGGCCCUUAUUCAAAUGUGACCCCACAACCCGUGACCCGUCGCUGAUGACGGUGUUGCUGGUGCUGGUGCUGGUGCUGUCGCUAUCGCCUUCCUUGGCUGCCCUUGGCUACGCACGAUUUAAAUUAAAUUGCACUUGACGCAUUUGCCUGCAGAGCUCUGUGUUUGAGCCAUGACACGGCUGGCUGGGGACAGGACAUCAGCAUCCCACCCGGGACGACAUGGAAGCAAGCAAGUGAGCGAGUCCGAGCAGAAGCAGGAAGCAGGAGCAGGAAGCAGGAGCUCCCUUCCUACUAUUAUUCAAUUAGUUGGCCAUCUGCUGCUCCUGUUGGAGGGGACUCUGGACCCUCUGCACGUCAAGUGCCCGUAAAUAAGUAAUAAAUGUAAUCCAAUGCCUCUACUCUGGCUACAGGUAGGAGCUGGAGCUGCCGUCCCAGUGGCACGGCAUGGCAUGUAUAAAUGAAUAGAUGGAUGGAGGCUGCAUACAGGAAAGGAUUAGUAGGGGUUCGAGUUUCCCCUGCUUUGGGGCAGAGGCUUGAAGCUAACCGAAAAAAGAUAAUCCUGUGAUGGUUGGGUAUUCGAUUACUGAAUCGGAACCAGAUGGAGUCAUAGACCCAGAGCAUUGGCGAAGCAGGUGGAGCAUGUAAGAGUGGAGGGCGCUGAAAGGAACAAUGGUGGAAAUGGGGGAGGACCUACGACCGAAGGAAGCUGCCAGUGCACACAGAAAUCUAAUUUAAAAUGUGCACACACAUAGAGAGGGAGGAAAUCAGCGACAGACAACAGACAACAGAUGGUAGCCGAGCUGCCGAGCAGCAAGAACCAAGAAGAAGAGGGAACGUGGAACGUGAGCACCUGGACCUGGACUCCAGCUGAUGCUGCUCCAAGGAAAGUGAACUCGGGAAAAGGAAGCCAAAGGUAACCGACGCAGCCGAGCGAAUGGCAAACAAGCGACAAAACAAAAUCAAACCUUGCCCCAGGACCCGCCCCAACCACGAGGGCCAUAUGCUGGAAGAGGAUGUGUAGAUGUUUAGAGAGAAUCCUUGCACCCAAGCACUGCGAUUUAAUCUUAUAAUGAUGCUGGUCUCCAUCUCCGUUCGAGUUCCAGUUCCUGUCUGUGAACGUGAACCAGCCCCUUUAACCCGGAACGUGAACAAGACAAUAUUUACACGUUUUCGCAGUUCAUCGUUUGAUAGCUACCAGACCAUACUCGUAGCAGAUCCAAGCAGACCCCACAUCGGUCGGACCUCGAUUACAUAGGAGCAUGAGAGCAUGAGCACGGAUUGAACAACCUGCCAGGGCGCUGCCAGGGCGCUGCCACUGCCACUGGCUGAGACUGGAAUGAGUAGAAUGACAACUGGCUAAAUCCUCUGCCAGCAUUCGUCGCCAAUCAGUGGUGGAGAACUUCUAGAUAUUCGCUUUCAAAUGCAUGGGAGAGAGCCUCCUUCGUCUCCUCCUCCUUGACGGCCUCCAACAACAUGUGGGAAUCGCAAAAUAUUCCAACUAUUUUUGAGCAGUAGUUUUUGAGCAGCAGUCCCAGGAAAAGGCACAGGCACAGGAGCUGAGCGACACACAAUGAGAGUGUCUAAGUACCGCCUUACCAGUACCAGCUCCACUGGUAAGAUUAAAUCUUACACUGUGGGUAAAACUGGAUGCAUGUUCAAUUAAUUUGCAUUUGUGAAGAAUUCAAACUUGAGCGAGGUGGGACAUGACAGUCUUAUUUUGACAGGGAAAUACUAUACAUACCUAUUAAUAAUAUAAACCUU